GGUCUUGUGGUAGCGAUCUGGCUGCGACAUAUGUCACCCCAUUGAUCGCCAGGGUUGAUUCGGCUGAUCUGGCUGGCUAGGCGGUGUCCCCUUCCUCCCUCACCGCUCCAUGUGCCUCCCUCCCGAAGCUGCACGCUCGGUUGAAGAGGACGACCUUCCCAUAAUAGAGGAGGACCGGUCUUCGGUCAAGGGUAUACGAGUAGCUGCGCUCCCCUGCUAGAACCUCCAAACAAGCUCUCAAGAUCAGAAUGACUUAUUUCUUAAAGCUUAGAUCUUACCAGUGUGCUACUCUGCCUAGGAACCUACCACAGACAAACGUA
RNAcentral lists this small nuclear RNA (320 nucleotides) under Mesocricetus auratus (golden hamster). RNAcentral's name for it is "7SK RNA". It matches the Rfam family "7SK RNA". From Rfam's summary of the family: 7SK was discovered as an abundant small nuclear RNA in the mid-70s but a possible function has only recently been suggested. Lineage: Eukaryota; Metazoa; Chordata; Mammalia; Rodentia; Cricetidae. The record is from Rfam by way of RNAcentral.